GAUCCUGUACUUCAACUUCCGGUUUCUGCACUGUGCAACUAUUACAGUUGCAUUUUUAAUUAACGAUGCCAAGUACUUGUUGUUGUGUACCUGGAUGUCAUUUAAGAGGAGGACAUGCAUUUCCAAAUGACUUAAAAAGAAGGAAAAGUUGGAUCAACGCAAUGGCCCAUACGCAGAUUGGACGAGAACACGAUGAAAUCGUGGAGUCCAUCUCAAUCAGCUGUUGUUUGCAAGGCACAUUUUACUGAAAAAGACUACGUGCAGGAAACUAUUCAUGGGCACAAACCCACCAUACAGAGACUUAAGUCUACUGCCAAUCCCAGCCUAUUUUCCUGGACCAAGCAAGAGACUGAAUCGUCCGCAAAAAGAAAAAUCAGGGCAGUUUCCUGUGAAAACAAAAGAACUAAACUUGAUGAAUAUUGUAGUAGAAAUCUAGAGGAAAGUUUUGAUUGUAAAGUUGGUUUUCCUGAAUAAGUAAUUCAUACUGCAGACAGGAUUUAUGACUGUCCACCACCAACUGCCGAGCUAAUGUUGAGCUUCACAGAUGGAAUUAUGCAAACACCAUCAAUGCCUAUAUUUUCAGCAGAGAAUUUUGAAAUGAAGACACGUGACACAGCCAUGCAUUUUUAUACCGGUUUAGAGUUGUAGAGUUGUAUACUAAAUUUUUAUUUGUUUUGAUCACACUUGGUCCAACAGCUCAUUGUUUGAGAUGCAUAUAUUUUCAAAUUGAUAGGGUGUCAUUUGAAAAUCAGUUUUUUUAUGACUUUGAUGAAAUUGAUGCAUUAUACAACCAACUUUGAACUGUCUAGAUUCUAGAUUGAAACUAGUGUUAAGAAUAUUGUGUAAACAUGGAUUGUUUUUAUGUCUAAACAGUGGCGUGAGGCUAACACUUGGCCAUCUAGUGGUUAAGUCAGGUAUUUUUCGCCAUCCAACUUCAAAUUAAAGUUUCCUACAACUUGGAUUAUUAUUGACAGCACAGAAUAUCCCGUGAUAAAACCUAAAGCUCCUAGAGCUCAGGCAACCUUUUCAUCAUAUAAAAACAGAAACUUUGAAAAUACUUGUAUGUUCGACACCUGGUGGUUUAGUCAACUAUGUCUCUAAUGCAUAUGUUGGUUGUACCAGUGACUGUGAAAUAGUUGAAAGAUGUAGAAUAGUUCAAUUAUGUGAUCCAGGUGACAGUGUGAUGGCAGACAAAGGUUUAAAUGUGCAAGAUUUGUUUGCUCACUUUUUUCAAAAAAAAAAACAGAAUUAGUUCCAAAACUCUUAUACGGGAUAGAAAAGUCUCCAAUUAACACGUGCACAUAGAGCUAAUUAUUGGACUUGGCAAAACAUACAAAAUUCUAAUAAAUCCUAUGAAUGGAACUGAAACAAAACUUUCAUCUGAAAUAACAUUUAGUUGUUUUAUGUUGUGUAAUUUUAGAACUUGUAUUGUGCCAAAGGAUGCAUAAAUAAAAGUGACGCAAUGAA
This is a long non-coding RNA of Mytilus californianus (California mussel), 1467 nucleotides long. RefSeq lists it as uncharacterized. Lineage: Eukaryota; Metazoa; Mollusca; Bivalvia; Mytilida; Mytilidae. The record is from RefSeq and is a predicted model, not a curated record. The transcript has 2 exons.